RNAcentral lists this long non-coding RNA (363 nucleotides) under Mytilus galloprovincialis (Mediterranean mussel). Lineage: Eukaryota; Metazoa; Mollusca; Bivalvia; Mytilida; Mytilidae. The record is from RNAcentral.
AUUUGUUGUUGUGUGUUUUAUAUUUCUUAUGUACAAUUUGUUCUGUUCUGAAUUAACUUGUGUGUUUUAUACUGCUGGUGUACAAUCUGUUAUGUUCUGAAGUAAUUUGUAGUUGUGUGUUUUAUAUUUCUUAUGUACAAUUUGUUCUGUUCUGAAGUAACUUGUGUGUUUUAUACUGCUGGUGUACAAUCUGUUAUGUUCUGAAGUAAUUUGUAGUUGUGUGUUUUAUACUGUUAAUAAAUACAAUCUGUUAUGUUCUCAAGUAGCUUGUAGCGGUGUGUUUUAUACUGCUGAUUGUGUACAAUCUGUUAUGUUCUGAUUUUAUACUGCUGAUGUACAAUCUGUUAUGUUCUCAAGUAACCU